GACGAACGCUGGCGGCGUGCUUAACACAUGCAAGUCGAACGGAAAGGCCCUGCUUUUGUGGGGUGCUCGAGUGGCGAACGGGUGAGUAACACGUGAGUAACCUGCCCUUGACUUUGGGAUAACUUCAGGAAACUGGGGCUAAUACCGGAUAUGAGCUCCUGCUGCAUGGUGGGGGUUGGAAAGUUUCGGCGGUUGGGGAUGGACUCGCGGCAUAUCAGCUUGUUGGUGGGGUAGUGGCUUACCGAGGUUUUGACGGGUAGGAGGCCUGAGGGGGUGACCGGCCGCAGUGGGACUGAGAGACGGCCCAGGCUCCUACGGGAGGCAGAAGGGGGGAAUAUUGCACAAGGGGCGGAGGCCGGAUGCAGCAACGCCGCGUGCGGGAUGACGGCCUUCGGGUUGUAAACCGCUUGCGCCUGUGACGAAGCGUGAGUGACGGUUAUGGGUAAAGAAGCACCGGCUAACUACGUGC
This 469-nucleotide ribosomal RNA is filed under the name uncultured bacterium. RNAcentral describes it as "partial 16S ribosomal RNA". It matches the Rfam family "Bacterial small subunit ribosomal RNA", at positions 28 to 508 of the family's 1533-position model. The record is from RNAcentral.